This 851-nucleotide ribosomal RNA is filed under the name Triticum aestivum (bread wheat). RNAcentral describes it as "partial small subunit ribosomal RNA". The record is from RNAcentral. Lineage: Eukaryota; Viridiplantae; Streptophyta; Magnoliopsida; Poales; Poaceae.
AUGCACCCCACUCGCCACCUUUUCCGGAUCAAACAAAAAAUGGUACACCUCCCACCCCAUCCCAUGCACGCACGCACGUACGCACCCCACAUAACUCCCUCCCUUCCGCACGCACACCUCCUCGCAUUCUUCAGUUUCACCGCACAAGAGUCGAGGCGCCAUCUACAUGCACGCGCAACGGGCCAAACGACAACGACGAUGAUCCCUUCCGCCACGCUCCUCCACGCUGCAUGGAUCACGGCCGCCGUCGCCGUCUGCCUCGCGCUCUGCACCAUCCACUCCCGCAAGUCCUCCUCGUCGCUCCGCCGCGGCUCUUCACGCCCCGGGCCGGCUCGCAGCUCCACCGCUGCCGCCAGGACCAGCGAGGAGUGCAACGGCGGCGGCGGCGGUAUUGGCGCGGCAGCUGGCGCCACGCCGGCUGCGAGGGUGUCCCCGACGCCAAGCGACACGGCCAAGAGCUGCUGCGUUAACGUAGGCGAUCUGCACGAGCCGGCGCGCGUGGGGGACGACGUCAUGCAGGUCGAUGUCAGCGCCGUUGCCGGCCCGGUCACGGUCAUCGACGUCGGGACGCACGGGCCGAUCGCGCCGGUGUUCCUGGUGCCGGACCCGAUGCCACCGCGGCGAAGCCUUUCGGUGAAGCACAUCCGGUUCGCUGAGCGACUGGAGAGGAUACGGUCGAGGCGGUGGGGAGGAGACAACGACGACGCGGAGGCCCAGCUGGACGACACGACGCUGUGGACCAAGACGAUCCUUCUCGGGGAGAGGUGCCGCGUCCCAAGCGGGGGCGGGGGCGGGUACGGCGGCGGCGGCGACGACGCGAUGGGCUACAGGCCGAGGCAUCCCCGGUCGGU